CUUUAUCAUAGGAUUUUCGGCUUUCCUCUACCAGGAAUACAGCUGGGCAUUUUGCGGUAUCGGUUUGGAUUCCAAGUAUGUCCUCUCCGGUUUCCCGUUCGUUGUCUAGGCAUUUGUGCGGCAUCCGGGGUGACCUUAUCCCUUAUUUUGUAUAUAAUGUGUUUUUAUAUUAUGCAUUUUUUAUAUUUUUGAGGAUGAGUGAGUCAGGUGAGUGGGUGUGUUCGUAUGCUUUAUUACAUUGUACUUAUUGUUUUGGGGAAGGUUAACUUUCUGGUUGUAAGACCCGUCACGGCCAGGCUGGGAGACUGGAUAGGCAAAUGCUCACAUUAAAUCUGUACCGAUACAGUGUGUUAAAUGUCUUCCUUUUUACACCAUAACCCAUGGUGGUGCUCCUACUAAAGGAGGGAGAUACGGAACAUACAUACAUACAUACUGCCGGUCGGGAGAAGACCAAGUGACCAUAUUUCUAUACCCCAGUCACCCUUGGGGAUU
This 492-nucleotide long non-coding RNA is filed under the name Mytilus galloprovincialis (Mediterranean mussel). Lineage: Eukaryota; Metazoa; Mollusca; Bivalvia; Mytilida; Mytilidae. The record is from RNAcentral.